GGUCCAAUAGUGUAGAGGUUAUCACAUGGGAUUCUGAUUCCCAUGACCCAGGUUCGAGUCCUGGUUGGACCU
This 72-nucleotide transfer RNA is filed under the name Collybiopsis luxurians FD-317 M1. RNAcentral's name for it is "tRNA-Gln (CTG) (tRNA-Gln-CTG-1 1 to 5)". It matches the Rfam family "tRNA". Rfam says of the family: Transfer RNA (tRNA) molecules are approximately 80 nucleotides in length. Their secondary structure includes four short double-helical elements and three loops (D, anti-codon, and T loops). The record is from RNAcentral. Lineage: Eukaryota; Fungi; Basidiomycota; Agaricomycetes; Agaricales; Omphalotaceae. RNAcentral also lists the same sequence under 1 other name.